RNAcentral lists this ribosomal RNA (280 nucleotides) under Phocaeicola plebeius DSM 17135. RNAcentral describes it as "partial 16S ribosomal RNA". It matches the Rfam family "Bacterial small subunit ribosomal RNA", at positions 497 to 776 of the family's 1533-position model. The record is from RNAcentral. Lineage: Bacteria; Pseudomonadati; Bacteroidota; Bacteroidia; Bacteroidales; Bacteroidaceae.
UAUGGUAUGUGCCAGCAGCCGCGGUAAUACGGAGGAUGCAAGCGUUAUCCGGAUUUAUUGGGUUUAAAGGGAGCGCAGACGGGUCGUUAAGUCAGCUGUGAAAGUUUGGGGCUCAACCUUAAAAUUGCAGUUGAUACUGGCGUCCUUGAGUGCGGUUGAGGUGUGCGGAAUUCGUGGUGUAGCGGUGAAAUGCUUAGAUAUCACGAAGAACUCCGAUUGCGAAGGCAGCACACUAAGCCGUAACUGACGUUCAUGCUCGAAAGUGUGGGUAUCAAACAGG